Molecule: unclassified non-coding RNA, 266 nt
Filed under: Dermacentor andersoni
Lineage: Eukaryota; Metazoa; Arthropoda; Arachnida; Ixodida; Ixodidae
Description: uncharacterized LOC126540617
Source: RNAcentral
CUGGGACAACGCGACGGCGGAAAUGCAAGCUUGUAUCCACCUACUAUCCAUUCGUGGUCUCAGAAUAUGACAACUGUGAUAUACUCCGUUCUCCGAGGCACGACAAUGGCUGCGAGCUCUGGGUCACCCGGCAGGGGGCGCAGAACGUCAGCAGCGCCUGCCUAUUCAUCUACGAUCUCCUAUGCGGACCUAACAAGUUUCAAAAGUACGACGAGGAAUUCUGCAGAGAUAAAAUUCAGAUUACGUAAUAAAUGCCUAAUGCCUCA